RNAcentral lists this ribosomal RNA (378 nucleotides) under Xanthomonas campestris. Its description in RNAcentral is "bacterial SSU rRNA". It matches the Rfam family "Bacterial small subunit ribosomal RNA", at positions 1000 to 1373 of the family's 1533-position model. Lineage: Bacteria; Pseudomonadati; Pseudomonadota; Gammaproteobacteria; Lysobacterales; Lysobacteraceae. The record is from RNAcentral.
UUCCAGAGACCGAUUCGGUUAAUUCGGGAACCGUGAGACAGGUCCUGCAUGUUNGUCGUCAGCUCGUGUCGUGAGAUGUUGGGGUUAAGUCCCGCAAGAGCGCAACCUUGGUCCUUUAGUUGGCCAGACGUAAUGGUGGGAACUCUAAGGAGACCGCGGUGACAAACCGGAGGAAGGUGGGGAUGACGUCAAGUCAUCAUGGCCUUACGACCAGGGCUACACACGUACUACAAUGGUAGGGACAGAGGGCUGAAACCCGCGAGGGUAAGCCAAUCCCAGAAACCCUAUCUCAGUCCGGAUUGGAGUCUGCAACUCGACUCCAUGAAGUCGGAAUCGCUAGUAAUCGCAGAUCAGCAUUUGCUGCGGGUGAAUACGUUC